CCCCCAGACUCCUACGGGAGGCAGCAGUGAGGAAUAUUGGUCAAUGGGCUUACGCCUGAACCAGCCAAGUCGCGUGAGGGAAGACUGCCCUAUGGGUUGUAAACCUCUUUUGUCAGGGAGCAAUUGGCGCUACGUGUAGCGUUAUCGAGAGUACCUGAAGAAAAAGCAUCGGCUAACUCCGUGCCAGCAGCCGCGGUAAUACGGAGGAUGCGAGCGUUAUCCGGAUUUAUUGGGUUUAAAGGGUGCGUAGGCGGAAUGCCAAGUCAGCGGUAAAAUCGCGGGGCUCAACCUCGCUCCGCCGUUGAAACUGGCGGGCUGGAGUUGGAGAGAAGUACGCGGAAUGCGCGGUGUAGCGGUGAAAUGCUUAGAUAUCGCGCAGAACCCCGAUUGCGAAGGCAGCGUACCGGCUCCACACUGACGCUGAGGCACGAAAGCGUGGGUAUCGAACAGGAUUAGAUACCCGGGUAU
Molecule: ribosomal RNA, 468 nt
Filed under: uncultured bacterium
Lineage: Bacteria
Description: bacterial SSU rRNA
Rfam family: Bacterial small subunit ribosomal RNA
Source: RNAcentral